AACGCACAUGGCGCCUUCCAGUAUCCUGGGAGGCAUGCCUGUCCGAGCGUCGUUUCAACCCUCGGUGCCCCUCUUCUGGCGGCCCGGUGUUGGGGUUCCACGCCUGGCGUGGUCCCUGAAAAUCAGCGGCGGACCCACGGCGGCCCUUCCCUUGCGUAGUAACUUAUGUCUCGCAUCGGGAGCCCCUGGGGACUUCUAGCCGUCAAAACCUCCUACAAGCCCGCCCCCGCGCGGCACAUGGUUGACCUCGGAUCAGGUAGGAAUACCCGCUGAACUUAA
RNAcentral lists this unclassified non-coding RNA (279 nucleotides) under uncultured fungus. RNAcentral describes it as "partial contains 5.8S ribosomal RNA, internal transcribed spacer 2, and large subunit ribosomal RNA". Lineage: Eukaryota; Fungi. The record is from RNAcentral.